GCCUGAAAUGUGGCAAAAGGUCGCAAAGUUCAAGGGGGCCGAAUACUUUCGCAAGGCACUGUAGAUUUCACAGGUUAAAAUAAUGAUGAAAACAAGCUAUAUACAUCGUCUCUCUUUUUGGUUUGAACUGGUUCAGAACUUUAUUUUUCUGCUCAGAACACUGGAAUUGAAAAAAAAUAGUGGUUCUGUUUGGAACAGAAUGAUUGUAAAAUCAUUUCCAUUCCAACCUUUGCUUACAAUGCAGUACUAUGCCUGUAUUUGAAUGCACUUACUGUAAAUCGCACUGGAUAUGAGUUUCUGCUAUAUGACUAAGAUAUAAACGUAAACACAACAGUCAAUGCAGAAUUAUAACUCGGUGAUCAGAAAGGAUCACUAAAUCCUGUUGUGUACAUUAGUGCACACAAGCGCGGGUGUACCACUCCCAAGAUUAGAUACUGGAACAUUCUUGGAUUACACAUCACUUAAAGAAGGCUUUAUGAUAAACCCAGCUUAAUGUGGUCUACUGAUUACAGAAAUAAGUCAUAACCAGCCAUAUGAACUUGCAGCAUGUCAGUAAAAACCGAAAGGUUAAGCCCUGUCACUGUAUAGAGUGGACUACACACUUUGAAAAAAAAGGGUUAUUUGGGGUUUCAUAUAGAACCUCUUGAUUCUUUGGACGAGAUUAAAGAAGGUUCUAUAUAUAAACCCAUUGAAGGCAGAGAACCUUGAGGAUUCCAUCCCUACCGCAGAUUGUAGGCGAACGUAGAGUUUAGCCAACAGCAGCGAACAAAAACGAACAGUCAUGUCAAACGCUGAAAUAACAGCUAACGAUACAGUAGCUGCUUUUAUGUUUGUUUUAGCUGCUUUGCAUUGCAAUGUAUGUCCGUAUUAAUGAUUCUGCAUGAAAUCUCCUGGUCAGAAAAAUGGCUAGCUGUCUCCUCCGACACGUUCCCGCUCUCAUUUGUAUUUUGCAACAUUGUUGUCGAGGUUGGAGUUGCAAACAACAAGGUUCAUACAAACCUGUGCUGUUGUGAACCAAAUGCUGGGAAAAAGCAAGAGAUAAUAAUGUGUUUAAUGGAAGCAUACACUCUAAGAAUUGGUUAAUUGGGGUUCUCUAUAGAACCUUUUGGUCAAAUCAAAUGAAUGGCCCACCAACUGCCAUUCCAACAUGAAAACUCAAGAGGAGGAUGGUUUCAAAUACCCUACCAAUUAGCACGUUAUUUUUCAAUUUAUUAAGGUAAGCAUUAUGUAAUUCAAGUACAUUAAGCCAUAUUCAUGUGACAAACUAUAGGCUAGUUCCCUCAAACUCAACUCUGGACCCCAAAGCUAGUUCCACUGCAUUUGUUCAUUGUUCCCUUCAAAUCAGGGAAUGAUUUAGACCUGGAACACCAGGUGUGUGCAAUUAUCAGGUAGAAUAGAAAACCAGCAGGCUCAGGACCUCGUAGGGUAAGAGUUGAGUUCCACUGGGCUAGAUAGCUAUGAGUUUGUUUCAGAGUUUGACCACUGUUUGUAAGCUACCUAGCUAACGCUAGGUUGCUAGAAAGGGAAAAGCUUUUUUUAUUUAACUAGGCAAGUCAGUUAAGAACAAAUUCUUAUUUACAAUGACGGUCUACCACAGCCAAACCCGGACAACACUGGACCAAUUGUGCGCCGCCCUAUGGAACUCCCAAUCAUGACCGGUUGUGAUACAGCCUGGAAUUUAACCAGGGUCUGUAGUGACGCCUCUAGCAUGAAGAUGCAGUGCCUUAGACCGCUGCACCACUCGGAAGCCCAAGGUUAGGUAGGCUAAGGUUACUUUUAAUAAGCAUCUUGGCAAGCUAGCUAAGUCUUACAAAUAAACCUAUAUGCCAAAUAGAGAUAAAUACCCAACCUGACAUUGGCAAUUAGCUAAUUGUUACUUUUAUUUCAGUAUUUUAGUUUGUAGUCACAAUCAAAUGUAUUUAUAAAGCCCUUUUUACAUCAGCCGAUGUCACAAAGUGCUGUACAGAAACCUAGCCUAAAACCCCAAACAGCAAGCAAUGCAGAUGUAGAAGCACGGUGGCUCUGAAAAACUCCCUAGAAUGGUAGGAUCCAAGGAAGAAACCUAGAGAGGAACCAGGCUCUGAGGGGUGGCCAUCGAACCAACUUGACACGAUUGUGGGAAGAAUCUGGAGUCAUCAUGGACCAGCAUCCCUGUGGAACAUUUGACCACUUGUAGAGCCCAUUCACCCAAACACUGAGGCUGUUCUGAGGGCAAAAGGGGAGGGGGGAGUGCAACUCAAUAUUAGUAAGGUAUUCCUACUGUUUGGUUUAGCAUAUGUUUUACUCAUUGUAAGUAAGAAUUGGUUCUUGACUAACUUGUCUAGUGAAAUAAAGGUUAAAUAAAUAAAACAUAAAAUACUCCAGCAGCAACCCGCUGAGGAGCUGCAGGAGAAAUCCAUCUCAAAAUCGUCUCUGUAUGCUGUGCACGUGUGAUAGCUGUGUUGGAUACCUAAGAUACAUGAUGACUUGUGAAAAUACACACAGGACAAUUUAAUUCCCCUAAAUGAUGUACAUUAACCCAUGAGAGGACUAUGUUUCAUGGAGGCAGACUGGACUGAAUGUUGCUGACCUCUGUUGAAUGCGCGUGACGGGCAGUGGACUAAGAGGAGAGUCUGGCAGGAUCCCAACUAUCAGAGGCAGAGGAUGUGAUCUUUCGGGCUGCUGCUGCUGAUGACAACAGCAAGCAGCCAGGCAACAACCCAUACUGUACUGUUCCAUAGAGAAGUCAGCCAGAGUUGGGAUCAAGAUUGACGUGGGCCAUCAUUCAAAGAAAGAGAUGCCUGCCUGGCAAACCAGUGCAUAUUUCCAAACUAUGUAUGUUUGCAUUAACUGAUUAAUUUUUGUUUGGGUAUGAAUGUAAUGAUAAUAAAAUCUCAAAAUGA
Molecule: long non-coding RNA, 2882 nt
Organism: Oncorhynchus tshawytscha (Chinook salmon)
Lineage: Eukaryota; Metazoa; Chordata; Actinopteri; Salmoniformes; Salmonidae
Source: Ensembl